Long non-coding RNA from Helianthus annuus (common sunflower), 1982 nucleotides. RefSeq lists it as uncharacterized. The record is from RefSeq and is a predicted model, not a curated record. The transcript is spliced from 6 exons. Lineage: Eukaryota; Viridiplantae; Streptophyta; Magnoliopsida; Asterales; Asteraceae.
UCAACAACUGACAGAACUCCUUUUCUCUAUCGUCACUUUCAAAACCCUAGCGCCGCAGACACAUUUUCUUCAAAAAGAAUCAACAUUAAACAACGAUUUCACAUACGAUUAUGUUCUAUCAUUAACAAGAUUGUCAUCGAUAUAUCAUUUACCAGAUUUUCACUCUCAAAACUCUAUAUUUCAAUCUAAAGAAACUGAGCAUAAGGUAUGUUUUCUUCUCCAUCCUUACUGUUGUAACUUGAAAUUCCUCUGAUGAUUCUAUGAUGUUCAUCUGAAACAUUUUAAAAAGUGAUUUUGUGAUGAUUAUUGGUUUUAGAAAACGUUGAUUCGAAUCUUAUUAACAUCAUCGUUCUUCUUAUUUCUUUUAGAUCCGGUCAUAAAAUUUGCAGGUAUGAUGUUUGUGUUCUAUGUUUAUGUGUUCAUCAUUUAUCCGGUCAUAAAACCCUAAUGUAAUAACAACCGAAUAGCCCAUUAGUUAUUUUUACCACCGCAGUCGCAAGCAUUCAGGUCAAGCUUCGCCGGAGUCGAUCGAACUCCAGUUCAAGAUCUAGCAAUGACCACCGAAGGAUUUCAUUUGUAGGAUUGGCACUAUAUGGUGCGGCAACGACUUGCUAUGUUAGCAGUGCACCCGAACCUAAAAGGGGUGAGCGGGAAAUACUUUCAGGACUGCAAUGAAUACGCAGCAGGCAACUUUGCAACGGAUUAUGAAUUGGUGAAGAAGCUCUGGGACUACAGUCAAAACUUGGUCAACUCUCUUCAACACUCCUGAUGUUGUUUUCUCCUUCUGAUGCGGUCCACUUUAUGUUUUAUUUGGAAUGAACGUCCAGAUAACUAGCGAGGCAACACAGUCCGUGCCCAAACUAUAUUUGCAAAAGUUGCUUCCAUCAUUUCAAAGUCUUUGCUGAUCUCUAUUAUUGUCACUUCAUGGUUGGGAUUCUGGAAUGCACAAUGGGGCUCUUGAGGGUAGGACCUUGAAGUGUUCGCUUUUUGAAUCUAUAAUAGAGAGACAUGUAAUUUCUCUAAUUAGGGAGGUUAACGAGUUAGAUUCGUGUAUGAUGAAAGGUGUGGUGAAUACAUGUAUUAUGAAUACCGACUUGCAGAUUAGGAAAAGGUUCAGGGGAAAUAUGGGGAGUCCAAGUACCAUAUACGUCUCAAGUACCAUAUACUGGUUUGUGCAAUGGCCUUAAAUAAUAAAACUUUUAUAAAUUGCAGGUCCAUCUUGCUUUACACCCUUACAAAUUGUAGGUCCUUGGAGAACAAUAUUCUAAACGGGUCCAUUUCUGCUGGUUUGUGGCAGAACAAGUCAUUUAGUAUAGCCUCAAUACUUCUACCAUAAGAAAUAAGGCAUGAUAUAAUUUCACUUCUGUAUAGAGUUAAAGUUAAUAACUUCAAAUUUUGACUCUUGAAAGCCAAGAGUCAAACCUUAGUUUCAUUAUUUUUACUAAUGUAAAGUUUUAUUGCUUAUAUAUUAACUGUUAUUUUACACAGAGAUUACCAAAAUAACUCCAUUUUAGACAUCAAUGGAAAAUUAAAGUCCACAUGUAAAUGCCAGCCUAAGGUAUGGUGUCUUCCUGUGCUUCUUUAGUGAGAUGUAUGAGUAGAGUUGGGAAGAUGUGUUAGUCGGGCUGGUUCGACAAGGUCGGGUUGGCCAAGAAACCCUUUUUACCAAUAUUUAGUAAAUAACUAAUGUAUUACAUAUGUUUACAAAACAAUAUUAUGCCAAUAAUUUUAAACCUUUAGUUUUGUCCAUUUCAGAAUAGAGAUGAAAAGUAAACCUAAUUCAACCCUUUAUUGUUAAACGGGUCAAAACUGCAUGUGAAUAAUUCUAAAGUAUGCAAAUAAUCUUAAAGUUCAGUGGUGUUAUACCCAUGAUUUUGAACUUGAAAAGCAUGUGAAUAAUCUUAAAGCCUCAAAUUUCCAUUGGUUUGACUUUGUAUACGAGUCAGGUGGGGUUGACUAAAACUAUGUGGCAUUGAUAUUGU